Molecule: long non-coding RNA, 814 nt
Organism: Monodelphis domestica (gray short-tailed opossum)
Lineage: Eukaryota; Metazoa; Chordata; Mammalia; Didelphimorphia; Didelphidae
Source: RefSeq, a predicted model, not a curated record
AAUUAUAUUAGUGCUCCUAGGUAUGGUUAAUGGCACCAAAGGAUGGAAGGUCAGUUUGAAUAAACUGGACCACACUAUGAUGGUCACAAUUGGUAGCAGUGUACUGAUCAUCAUAUAAAAGCCACUGAACACAUGAAAGGAAUUACAGUACAUCACACAUCAAACAUUUUGGCCUUGUGCUUCCUUCCUCUAAUCCUACUGGCAGGAAAUGCUCUACAUAUCCUGUGAGGUGACCAGAUACAUUUAAAAGUGGUCCCUUGCUCCACAAGCUCUUGCAUACAGAAAUAGUUUCAAAUUAAGCUGAACCACUUCUACAUGGCGCUAAUAUACUAUGUCCUCAUUUUCAACAAAGAAAUGGUUCUCCAGGCAUAAGAAAGAGAAGUGGUGUGCAGAAUAUGUGGAAGGAAUUCUUUAGAUACCUUACAUAUCUUAAUGAAAAACUGUGGAGUGACAAGGUGAGGAUGCUGAUAGUUUAACCAAAGAGUGACUUCUUAAGAACACGGAGGCAGAGAGUAGACUGGACAAGACUGUGUGAAAGGCACCCUGAAUGACAGACUAAAGAGUCUAAACUUUAUUCUAGAGGUCCUGGGGAGACAUCAAAGAUUUCUGAACAGGCCAAUGGACUUCAGACAGUAGCUGUUUCAUCUCAUAGCAAUGGACUUUAAUAAUUCUUCCUGACCAAAUACUGAGUUAUGGGAACUGUAGUUCUCUACUUCUUUGAAAACAGAUCUCUGUACCUGAAGGAAAGAAGCCAGAGAAAUUACUGAAAGGGUCCUGCUUGCAGACGGGUCGAACCAACAAGGUGCGUCUGUUC